AUUGACCCACACCAGAUCGCUGGCCGGCAGAGUCAAGGCUGCGGCGGGCUGUCCGACUUGAGCGUGCGGUUGUCGACGAAACGUAUCAUGAUUGGCCGCCCCGCAAUGGCGCUGCCGAGCCCUUUGGUCAGUGAUAACGGCGCACAGUUUCCGAGCGACGCGUUGAUCGCGCCGAGAUAGAUGUCGCGGGUUUGCACGGAAGCGCCGGGCGUGAAAUAGGUCACCCGCGGCGGCGCGAUCAGGCCGCCGUCGCGCCUGAACGAGAAUUUCACCGACAU
RNAcentral lists this unclassified non-coding RNA (278 nucleotides) under Hevea brasiliensis (rubber tree). Lineage: Eukaryota; Viridiplantae; Streptophyta; Magnoliopsida; Malpighiales; Euphorbiaceae. The record is from RNAcentral.